This 253-nucleotide ribosomal RNA is filed under the name uncultured bacterium. RNAcentral's name for it is "partial 16S ribosomal RNA". It matches the Rfam family "Bacterial small subunit ribosomal RNA", at positions 524 to 776 of the family's 1533-position model. The record is from RNAcentral.
UACGUAGGGUGCGAGCGUUAAUCGGAAUUACUGGGCGUAAAGCGUGCGCAGGCGGUUUGUUAAGACAGUUGUGAAAUCCCCGGGCUCAACCUGGGAACUGCCAUUGUGACUGCAUGGCUAGAGUACGGCAGAGGGGGAUGGAAUUCCGCGUGUAGCAGUGAAAUGCGUAGAUAUCCGGAGGAACACCGAUGGCGAAGGCAAUCCCCUGGGCCUGUACUGACGCUCAUGCACGAAAGCGUGGGGAGCAAACAGG